Saccostrea cuccullata (small rock oyster) is the source of this 228-nucleotide long non-coding RNA. RefSeq lists it as uncharacterized. The record is from RefSeq and is a predicted model, not a curated record. The transcript is spliced from 3 exons. NCBI's taxonomy places the organism in Eukaryota, Metazoa, Mollusca, Bivalvia, Ostreida, Ostreidae.
CUAUAUAGGUCAACUUAUCAAGAUUUUGAAAAACCGGGCAGCAUUCCUGAAAGACAAAGAACAGGAUUAAGCGGCUGUUUGCAAAGACUAAAUAUGUACCGGUACCUUUUUAAAGAUCACAUGUAGAGAGAGGAAUUUGCUUAGGCACACCAUGCUGGAGGGAUUUAUCAGGGUAUUUAUUCUUUAAGAAGAAUUAAAACAAAGAAGUCCAAGUGACCCAAAUGCCAA